CUGUUAAUGAGGUUUAGUGGUACACGCAUAGAUCUCUCUAAAUGUUAGCAGAUGUUCACUGGUGGGUGCCAGCUAUAAAAGAGGCUAUUAAUUAGAUAAAGAGGUAGUUCCAGUGAAAGACAUUCAACUGCUUGUUAUUGGUGCCUUAGUACUUGCUCAACAGGCUUAAUGACACGGGCUUUCUCUCCCUGAGGCUGGCAGAGCCUCACAGGUAGGAAUGAUGCAGGGUCCCUGAUCUGGUACCUUUCCCCAGUGGGAACAGCUAGUCUACUCAUGGACUUGCUUUUCCUGCCUAUGGUACUUCUGCUAAAAGAUUACAGUAUGCUUCUUCUCUGUUACAGCACCUCAGAUGGUCUCAUUUCUGAAUAAAAUGCUCAUUUACAAGCAAAAUAAGGAGACAAUGACAUCCGGCCGUAGGAAUUCAAUGGUUCUGAACUCCACCUCUAGAAAAAGCUUGCCUACUGGACUGAUCCUGAAGACUCACUCACUCAUGGUUGCAUCCAGAGUAUGAGGACUUGUGGGCAAGCACCUUUACCCACGAGCCAUCUCACAGCCUCCUGCAAAUUGUUUUCUGAUCUCCACAAGUGUGUGCACAUGCAGACACACACAUACACUGUUAAAUAAAUCUGGAUUGGAAAGUCA
Long non-coding RNA from Mesocricetus auratus (golden hamster), 642 nucleotides. RefSeq lists it as uncharacterized. NCBI's taxonomy places the organism in Eukaryota, Metazoa, Chordata, Mammalia, Rodentia, Cricetidae. The transcript has 2 exons. The record is from RefSeq and is a predicted model, not a curated record.